Molecule: ribosomal RNA, 253 nt
Filed under: uncultured bacterium
Lineage: Bacteria
Description: partial 16S ribosomal RNA
Rfam family: Bacterial small subunit ribosomal RNA
Source: RNAcentral
UACGUACUGCGCGAACGUUAUUCGGAAUCACUGGGCUUACAGGGUGCGUAGGCGGCUUUUCAGGUCUGGUGUGAAAUCCCCCGGCUCAACCGGGGAAUGGCAUUGGAAACCGAAAGGCUCGAGGUAGCUAGAGGCAUGCGGAACUUCCGGUGGAGCGGUGAAAUGUGUUGAGAUCGGAAGGAACACCAGAGGCGAAAGCGGCAUGCUGGGGCUAUUCUGACGCUGAGGCACGAAAGCCAGGGGAGCGAACGGG